RNAcentral lists this ribosomal RNA (254 nucleotides) under uncultured bacterium. RNAcentral's name for it is "partial 16S ribosomal RNA". It matches the Rfam family "Bacterial small subunit ribosomal RNA", at positions 524 to 776 of the family's 1533-position model. The record is from RNAcentral.
UACGUAGGGGGCAAGCGUUGUCCGGAUUUAUUGGGCGUAAAGAGCUCGUAGGCGGUUUGGUAAGUCAGGUGUGAAAUCUCCACGCUCAACGUGGAGGGGCCACCUGAUACUGCUAUGACUGGAGUCCGGUAGAGGAGUGUGGAAUUCCCGGUGUAGCGGUGAAAUGCGCAGAUAUCGGGAGGAACACCCGUGGCGAAGGCGGGUCUCUGGGCCGAUACUGACGCUGAGGAGCGAAAGCGUGGGGAGCGAACAGG